GACCACUACGAUGGCCUAGUGGUUAGAGUGUCCGCUUUGGAUGCGGGAGGUCGUGGGUUCGAUUCCCGGUUGAGUCA
Non-coding RNA from Potamilus streckersoni, 77 nucleotides. The record is from the annotation of a GenBank genome assembly. Lineage: Eukaryota; Metazoa; Mollusca; Bivalvia; Unionida; Unionidae.